AUGCAGGAGCUCGAUGCCUCAUUUUUGAUCUCCAUCAACACCUCCCAUCUUGUGAGAAACAAGGUUUCAUCCAUCAAACUGAUGCAGCUGUUUGUGGACCAUGACGUGGAUUUGCCGCCCACAAGGCACCACGGGCUGCAGAUACGUCCGAUGCCGUGGCCAUCACUUUCGGGAGACCUUGCAGAUGGCAGGGAGGUACGACCCAUCCCUUGGCCUUUGUUCCCUGUGAAGAAGUUUAUGGAGCAUCCAUUCCAGUAUGUCCAAUUGCUUGAUAUGACUAGUAGCACCUUUCCUGUGGAAUCAUGUCAUGCUGGAGAACUUGUGGGCAAUCACAAUGUACACUGCAUCCAGAUAACCUCUAUCGAGCCCUUGUGCUUAUGGUCUUUGCAACAGAACAAUGUUGGUUCCUGUCACCAUAAGCAUGCCAAUCUAUUUUCUUACAAUAAACAGUGGCCUUUGGAAUGGGGUACAUGCACUAUUAUUCUUGCUCUUGGAACGCAUCAUUCUGGUCUUGCUCCUAUGGCUGUACAUCAUUUUCGGCGUGCGAAGAAACACAGUGCUUGGAACUGGAUGAGCGGUUUUGAUUUUUAG
This 591-nucleotide ribosomal RNA is filed under the name Triticum aestivum (bread wheat). RNAcentral's name for it is "partial small subunit ribosomal RNA". The record is from RNAcentral. Lineage: Eukaryota; Viridiplantae; Streptophyta; Magnoliopsida; Poales; Poaceae.